RNAcentral lists this long non-coding RNA (5019 nucleotides) under Sus scrofa (pig). RNAcentral describes it as "lncRNA (ENSSSCG00000058240.1)". The record is from RNAcentral. Lineage: Eukaryota; Metazoa; Chordata; Mammalia; Artiodactyla; Suidae.
UUCAUUCUUUCCUGUUUCUCUGCAUUUUUUCUUAUUUUUUUUUGUUGCAAACUGGAUAUUUUAGAUAAUAUAUUGUUGGCAACUCUGCGUUCUGGUCUCCAUAUUCCAUGCUUAUUAGUGUCAUCUGCUUCUUUGUUUAGUAACUAGCUGGAUUAUUUUAGUGAUUAUUUUAAGGAAGUCUAUCUGCCCCACUCCACCCCCCAGCAGUUUAACCUCUGAUAUUAGUCCACAGAGAGGCACAGUUUUGGGCAUGCCCACAGUCAACCUGGAAUGACAAUGGUUUUGGAAGGGCUCUUAUCAUCUCUUUCUUUGACCACUACCAGCUGUUAAGCUCCAUUCCUUGACAGCUGAUGAUUGUGUUGUUUUAAAUAAUGCCCUAUGCAUACACUGCUUUAUGGUCUUAUCCAAUCAAAGUAGCACUCCCUUGAAAGAAGGUUUUAAUUUCUCCACACUGUGUUGCAAAUGAAGUCAAUUCCUUUGGGAAGAUAUUAGCAGCCAUUAGUAGCUACUUGCCUGCUUUCCCCUGCCCCUAGGCAAAAAAUAUCUCAGUCAGGGUUCUGGAACUUGUGGUAUUGCUGAAUGAUGUCUCCAAAGUAGGAGCUGUGCACUCGUCAAAGGGGAGGAGGUGGAACAACAGCUUGAGGUCCUCUCAGCUUGCCACUUGAUAAGCUAGGAUGAGAGUGCUAUGGGCCCUACUCUUCUCAGUGGUUCUGCACGCAAGGUAGAUCCUCAAUUCCAUGAGUCACGGCUGGGUGGAAAAAGGGAGUCCCAACCUCUAGACUACAUUCAUCGAGAACUUAGCCUCAGUAACAGAUAAUUGAUAGCAUUCUGCCUCAGGAGAAGCGCUGACAUCCUGCUCCUUCUAGGACAAAAGCCCUCUGACUAGGAGCUGGGGGAACAUGUAGCCCUGUGUUUUUGGCCACACCAGUCUGGAGUGACGUUUGUCUUGCUGAGCUAUUAGAGGGGAGAGAGGGAAUAGUCAGUUCAAAUGCCACAGACUUGCUUUUCUUACUGAAUUUUUAUAGAUUUUCUUGAAUAGAUGCUUCUUUGUUUGCUAGGUUUUAAAUUGUUCUAUUUAUUUGUUUAUUUGGUCAUUUUGUCUUUUUUAUGGCCACAGCCAUGGCAUGUGGACAUUCCCAGGCUAGGGGUUGAAUCAGAGCUGCAGCCGCUAGCCUAUGCCACAUCCACAGCAACUCGGGAUCUGAGCCACGUCUGCAACUUACACCACAGCUAUGGCAAUGCUGGAUCCUUAACCUGCUGAGUGAGCCAGGAAUUGAAACUGCAUCCUCACUAACUGCUGAGCCAUGGUGGGAACUCCUAAAUGAUUGUUUUAAAAGAAAUGUUCACAAGUUUCCCUGGGGAGUGUAUCUGUAGAGUUCCCGGUCUAGUCGUUAAGGAUCUGGUGUUGUCACUGAUGUGGCUUGGGUUCAAUCCCUGGCUUGGGAACUUCCUCAUGUGGUGGACACACACAAAAAAGUUGAUUUUCUUCAACUUUAGUAGACUUUCUUUUCUUUUAUACUGAAUCAGUUCUUCAAAAUCAUUUCACAUUUUGGUUUGCUUCAUAAAUGAAUGCUGAUUUUCUUUGGUGGCUUUUAGAUUUUCCUAGAGUUUCUAACUUUUUCUUUAGAAAGAAGAGAUGUGUCUUUAUCUGUUCAUUAGGAAUUUUGGGGCAUUUAACCAUAGAAUUCAUUUUUGCCUUGAAAAUAUUAUUUUUUUAAAGUAUAUUUGACUUACAAUGUUGUGUUAGUUUCAGGUGUACAGCAAAGUGAAUCCAUUAUUUUUCAGAUUCUUUUUCCAUAGAGGUUAUUACAUAGUAUUGACUGUGUGUCCUUGUGCUGUAGAACAGGUCCUUGUUAUUUAUCUAUUUUGCAUGAGGUAGUGUGUAUAUGUUAUUUCCAACCUCCUAAUUUUCCCCUUUCCCCCAACAUUUCCCCUUUGGUAACUAUAAGUUUGGUUUCUAAAUCUUUGCAAUCCCUCCCACAAAUCCUUCCUGAGAAAACAAAAAUAAAUAGUCCUAAGCUAAAUUAAAAACAAAUUUGAAGAAGACAAAGCCAAUGAAAUUCUAAACCAGUUAAACUGCCCCUAAAACUGAGAAAAUAAUACCUGGAUAACAUUCGUGUAGCAGACUUAGAAGGGAAAUGAGAGGAAUGACUUUACAGAGAAUGUCUUUGGUGAUGACAAUGGCCACUUUCCUUGGCUCCAUCUUCCUUGACUUAAUUUUUCAUUUAGCUUAGGCCAAUUUUGUUUACUCAGAAAGGAUUUGUGGGAGGGAUGACAGAGGACCAACCCUUGCCUUAUUUGAAAAUGCCCUUACUUUCCACUUUUUUAUUGUUACUUUUCACCUUAAUUUUUAAUUGGUAUUGAUUUGGCCAAAUACAGAAUUUUAUAGUUCAGAUAUCAUUUUACAAGGAACUUGGAAGGUACUUCUUUAAUUCUUUUGGAACCCACUAUUUCCAAUACAAAGUUUAAGGCUAAUUUUGUUUCUUGUUCCUUUGCAAGUAAUCUCCCCUCUUCUCCAUCCCUGGAAACAUUUAAGGAUUUUUUUUUUCAUAGAAAUUUUGAAAUUACAUGAAGACAUGUUUGAAUGUCAUUUUCUCCCCAAGCAUCUCAUUGUCAUACAUGAGCCCUUUCAGUCUGAAGACUUAAGAAUCUUUCCAGCUCAGGGGAAUUACUUUUCUUUUUUUUUUUCUUUUAAAUGAUUUUUAUUUUUUCCAUUACAGCUGGUUUACAGUGUCCUGUCAAUUGUCUACUGUACAGCAAGGUGACCCGUCACACAUACAUACACACAUUUUUUACCUCACAUCAUCCUCCAUCAUGAUCCACAAUAAGUGACUAGAUAUUUUAAAAAGUUAUUUCUAUUUUUCUUCUACAAUUCCUAUUAGAUUUAAUUGGAAUUUUUUUGGCAUUUAAUUUUUUUUAUUGUUUAAAAUUAUUGGCAUAUAGCUGACAUACAGAGCUGUGUUAAUUUCAGGCAUACAGCAAAGUAACCAGUUAUACACAAACAUGUAUCCAUUAUUUUUCAGAUUCUUUUCCCAUAUAGGUAAUUAUGCAGUAUUGAGUAAAUUUCCCUGUGCGAUACAGUAAGUGUUUGUUAUCCAUCUAUUUUAUAUUUAGUAGUGUGUAUAAGUCAUUCCCAACCUGCUAAUUUAUCCCUCCCCCCAUGUUUUUCCUUUGGUAAAUAUAAGUUUGGUUUUAAAAUACUUGAGUCUGUUUUUGUUGUGUAAGUUCUUUUGUUGUCAUUUGUAUUAAUUCCCCAUAUUAGUGAUCUCAUAUGACAUUUGUCUUUCCCUGUUGUAUUUCACUUAGUAUGAUAUUUUCUAGGUUCAUUCAUGUUGCUGCAAAUGGCAUUAUUUCAUUCUUUUUAUUGUUGAGUAAUAUUUCUUUGUGUGUAUGCACCACAUCUUCUUUAUCCAGUCCUCUGUUGGUGGACACGUCUUGGUUGUCCAUCAACAGCCAAGGUUGCUUCCAUGUCUUGGCUACUGUAAAUAGUCCUGCAGUGAACAUUGGGGGUGCAUGUAUCUUUUUGAAUUAUGGCUUUCUCUAGAUAUGUGCCCAGGAGUGGGAUUACUGGAUGAUAUAGCAGUUCUAUAUUUAGUUUUUAAAGGAACCCCUAUAUAGUUCUCCAGCAUUUAUUAUUUGUAGACUCUUUGAUAAUGGCCAUUAUGACUGGUGUGAGGCAAUAACUCAUAGUUUUGAUUUGCAUUUGUCUAAUAAUUAGUGAUGUUGAACAUCUUUUCGUGUGUUUUUAGCCAUCUGUCUAUCCUUAGACAAAUGUCUAUUUAGAUUUUCUGACCAUUUUUAAAUUGCAUUGUAUGUUUUUUUUUUGGUACAAAGAUGUAUGAGAUUAAUCUUUUGGAGAUAAUCCCUUGUUGGUUGCUUCAUUUGCAAAGAUUUUUGUCCCAUUCUGUGGGGUGUCUUAUUUUGUUUGUUUAUAGUUUCCUUUGCUCUGCAAAAGUUUUUAAGUUUAAUUAGGUCCCAUUUGUUUAUUUUUGUUUUUAUUUUUCUUACUCUAGGAGGUGGAUGCAAAAAAGAUAUUGCUGUGAUUUAUGUCAAAGUGUGUUCUGCCUGCUUUCCUUUAGGAGUUUUACAGUAUCCAGCCUUAUGGUUUAGGUAUUUAAUCCAUUUUGAGUUUUUUUAUGUUUGGUGUUAAAAGAGUGUUCUAAUUUCAGUCUUUUGCAUGUAGCUGUCCAGUUUUCCCAGCAUCACCUGUUGGAGAGACUGUCUUUUUUAUGUUAUGUAUUCUUGCUUCCUUUGCUAAAAAUUAAUUGACCACAAGUGCGUGGGUUUAUUUCUGGAAUUUCUAUGCUGUUUCACGAUCUAUAUGUUUAUUGUUGUGCCAGUACCAUACUGUUUUGAUGACUAGCUCUGUAGUAUAGUCUGAAGUCAGGGAGCCUCAUUCCUCUGGUUCCACUUUUCUUUCUCAGGAUUGCUUUGGUUAUUAAGGGUCUCCCAUUUUUCCAUACAAAUUAAAAAAUUUUUGUUCUAGUUCUGUGAAAAAUGCCUUUGGUAAUUCAAUAGGGAUUGAAAUCAAAGAGGAAAUAAGAAAAUACCUAGAGACAAGUCACAAUGAAUAGAUGACAAUCCAAAACCUAUGAGACACAGCAAAAGCAGUUCUAAAAGCAAAGUUUAUAACAAUACAAUAUCACCUCAAGAACCAAGAAAAAUCCUGAGUAAACUACCUAAAUUUACAUCUGAAGCAACUAGAGAAGAACAAACAAAAUCCAAAGUUAGUAGAAGGAAAGAAAUCAUAAGGAUCAGAACAGAAAUAAAUGAAAUUGGGAGUUCCCAUUGUGGUGCACUGGUUAACGAAUCCAACUAGGAACCAUGAGGUUGUGGGUUCGAUCCCUGGCCUUGCUCAGUGGGUUAAUGAACUGGCAUUGCCAUGAGCUGUGGUGUAGGUCUCAGACUCAACUUGGAUCCCACAUUGCUGUGGCUCUGGCGUAGGCUGGUGGCUACAGAUCUGAUUAGACCCCUAGCCUGGGAACCUCCAUAUGCCACGGGGGUGGCUAUAGAAAAGGC